GAUUAAGUUAUUAAGGGCGCACGGUGAAUGCCUUGGCACUAGAAGCCGAUGAAGGACGUUACUAACGACGAUAUGCUUUGGGGAGCUGUAAGUAAGCUAUGAUCCAGAGAUUUCCGAAUGGGGGAACCCAACACGAGUUAUGUCGUGUUAUCGACAUGUGAAUUCAUAACAUGUCAGAAGGUAGACCCGGAGAACUGAAACAUCUUAGUACCCGGAGGAAUAGAAAGAAAAUUCGAUUCCCUGAGUAGCGGCGAGCGAAACGGGAAGAGCCCAAACCAAUGAGCUUGCUCAUUGGGGUUGUAGGACACUCUAUACGGAGUUACAAAUGUAUUUGUUAGACGAAGUAGUUGGAAAGCUACAUCAAAGAAGGUAAUAAUCCUGUAGUCGAAAAUGAAUACACUCUUGAGUGGAUCCUGAGUACGACGGAGCACGUGAAAUUCUGUCGGAAUCUAGGAGGACCAUCUCCUAAGGCUAAAUACUCUCUAGUGACCGAUAGUGAACCAGUACCGUGAGGGAAAGGUGAAAAGUACCCCGGAAGGGGAGUGAAAAAGAACUUGAAACCGUGUGCUUACAAGUAGUCAGAGCCCGUUAAUGGGUGAUGGCGUGCCUUUUGUAGAAUGAACCGGCGAGUUACGAUCUGAUGCAAGGUUAAGCAGUGAAUGUGGAGCCGUAGCGAA
This 677-nucleotide ribosomal RNA is filed under the name Staphylococcus pettenkoferi. Its description in RNAcentral is "partial 23S ribosomal RNA". It matches the Rfam family "Bacterial large subunit ribosomal RNA", at positions 1 to 675 of the family's 2925-position model. The record is from RNAcentral. Lineage: Bacteria; Bacillati; Bacillota; Bacilli; Caryophanales; Staphylococcaceae.